RNAcentral lists this ribosomal RNA (473 nucleotides) under uncultured bacterium. RNAcentral's name for it is "bacterial SSU rRNA". It matches the Rfam family "Bacterial small subunit ribosomal RNA", at positions 35 to 507 of the family's 1533-position model. The record is from RNAcentral.
CGGCUGGCGGCGUGCCUAACACAUGCAAGUCAACUUGACUGAAGAGCAAUCUGACAGUAGAGUGGCGCAAGGGUGCGUAACGCGUAAGUAACUUGCCCAAGGUAAGGAAUAACGUCGAGAAAUCGGCGCUAAUACCUCAUAAUGCAGCGGAUCCGCAUGGAUAUGUUGUUAAAGGUUUACCGCCUUGGGAUAGGCUUGCGUCUGAUUAGCUAGUUGGUGUGGUAACGGCACACCAAGGCUACGAUCAGUAACUGGUCUGAGAGGAUGAUCAGUCACACUGGAACUGAGACACGGUCCAGACUCCUACGGGAGGCAGCAGUGAGGAAUAUUGGGCAAUGCUCGAAAGAGUGACCCAGCAACGCCGCGUGGAGGAUGAAGGUAUUCUAUAUCGUAAACUCCUGUGAGAGCAGACGAAAGACAGAUUAUUAAUCUGGAUGACUGUAUGCUCAGAGGAAGCCCCGGCUAACUACGUG